GAGGUCAGGGAGUUGCCGGUGGCGAUGAAGUUCCUUAGGGGGCGUCUAGACCUAGCUCCGGUGGUGGCUCAGAGGGAGCUCGCGGAGGAAGAAGGAGGGGGAAGAGUAAAAAGCAGAGAAGUAGGAAAGGUACGGAGACUCAAGGAAAAAAAGGGAACGGGUACUGCUCGUCCCUUCGGAGCGGUGACGGCGGCGGUGGUGGUGGUGCCUGCAGCAGUGUGGUAGCGGCGGAGGCUCAAGCGGCCGGUGGCCGCGGGCAGGAGGAUAUACGUCGGCUCGGUUAACUCCUCGAGUCUUGAUGGCGGCAGUACGGGUGCAGUUCAACGACGCGUAGAGGUGGAGGGUCGGAACGACUCCGUACGGUUCUCCGCGACGGAGCAGACCUGAGGAGACGAUGGAGGGUAAGCACGGAGACGAAGUCAGCGGUCGCUCGGCGACGGAGCAGGCCGGCCGGAGGAGACCAGGGUCUAAACCAAAUCCGGUGUUGCCACCAACAACGACAGCUAACACGAACGGACUAAGCCUCAAAGGAAGUGAGGUAGAAGGGAGAACGGCUUAAUUAACGAAGUAAUACAAGGGGAGUAUGCGACGAACUAAAGACUACGCCGUUUCAGCG
This 616-nucleotide ribosomal RNA is filed under the name Triticum aestivum (bread wheat). RNAcentral's name for it is "partial small subunit ribosomal RNA". Lineage: Eukaryota; Viridiplantae; Streptophyta; Magnoliopsida; Poales; Poaceae. The record is from RNAcentral.